RNAcentral lists this long non-coding RNA (248 nucleotides) under Sorghum bicolor (sorghum). RNAcentral's name for it is "long non-coding RNA (SBIC_LNC012803)". The record is from RNAcentral. Lineage: Eukaryota; Viridiplantae; Streptophyta; Magnoliopsida; Poales; Poaceae.
AUGCAUGUCUAUAAUAAAUAUUGCAGAUCUCGUUGAGUUGAUCUUGAUAUAGGUCAGCGUUGGAGGGGAAACAACUUCGCCGACAUAAUUUUAUGGUUUCCCAAGGAUAAGCUUAGCGUCCUUAAACAAGCACUUAUCAGAUCAUAACAUGAAUUUGCAACAUUGCCUCGUGUAUUGAGCAUAUUGAGAUAAUUGUAGAAAUAUUCCUUCGGGUAUUCUUGCCACUAACCUUUCCAGGAUUAGAGCAA